UACGUAGGGUGCAAGCGUUAAUCGGAAUUACUGGGCGUAAAGCGUGCGCAGGCGGUUGUGCAAGACAGAUGUGAAAUCCCCGGGCUUAACCUGGGAACUGCAUUUGUGACUGCACGGCUAGAGUGCGGCAGAGGGGGAUGGAAUUCCGCGUGUAGCAGUGAAAUGCGUAGAUAUGCGGAGGAACACCGAUGGCGAAGGCAAUCCCCUGGGCCUGCACUGAUGCUCAUGCACGAAAGCGUGGGGAGCAAACAGG
Molecule: ribosomal RNA, 253 nt
Filed under: uncultured bacterium
Lineage: Bacteria
Description: partial 16S ribosomal RNA
Rfam family: Bacterial small subunit ribosomal RNA
Source: RNAcentral